CAGCCGCCGCGGUAAAACGAAGGGGGCUAGCGUUGUUCGGAUUUACUGGGCGUAAAGCGCACGUAGGCGGAUCGAUCAGUCAGGGGUGAAAUCCUGGAGCUCAACUCCAGAACUGCCUUUGAUACUGUCGAUCUCGGGUCCGGAAGAGGUGAGUGGAACUCCUAGUGCAGAGGUGGAAUUCGUAGAUAUUAGGAAGAACACCAGUGGCGAAGACGGCUCACUGGUCCGGUACUGACGCUGAGGUGCGAAAGCGUGGGGAGCAAACAGGAUUAGAGACCCCGUAGUCCCUGUCUCUUAUACA
This 301-nucleotide ribosomal RNA is filed under the name uncultured bacterium. RNAcentral describes it as "partial 16S ribosomal RNA". It matches the Rfam family "Bacterial small subunit ribosomal RNA", at positions 509 to 808 of the family's 1533-position model. The record is from RNAcentral.